AUCCAUUAAAGUAAAGCACAGUGGGGUGGGUUGGUAUUCUCGUUUUCUUUCUUUUAAGCGCCAGCGAUCGUUCAACGCAAUCAUUUAAUCAUCCCGGGUAAUUUUCUUCACCCAGAAACAGACGUGAUUUAUUUAAAAAUGGGGCUGAUGGCGUGCGAAAGUUGCCCGCUGGGGCAGAGCCCGCGGCGGAGCGGCAGCACCGUGCUGGCCGGGGCAGCGCUGCCCGCAGCCCGCCCGGGCCGCUCGGAGCUCAGCGGGGCCAGGAAGCGAGGCCGCGGUGCCCGGCAGAGGGACAGAGAUGUAGCGGGACAGACGGAGGGAAGGGCUCGGAGGCCAGUUUUACUUGGCAGCAGAAGGUGUGACUUUGUAGCACGACAGUUCUGUCUUGCUGUCUCCUUGCCAGUGUUCCAUAGCUCUGCAGGUUACAGUUAAUAUUGGAAUGGUUACCCUGAGCAAGUCCCUGUGUCCCUUUGACAGUGGCCUAGGAGAUGCCUGGAAGAUGGAUGAUGAACUGCUUUGUGAUCUCUCUGGAGUGUGGAGUCUGAUGGGGUAACUGGACAGUGUCAGACACAGUACAGCAACUUUGUGCUCUUCUGCUCAGACCAAGAAAUGAGCUGAGCGACCUCUGCCUUUUAGGGGGAAAUGAAGUUUCUGCUCCACUCACCCAUCACCACCACCCAGAAAUUCAGCAGCUUCUGUGCCUGAGCCAGGUGAACAAUUGGUACAGCUGGGGAUGGGAAGGAAGAAAAGAGAAGUAUGUGAGCACACAUUUGUACUUUUUCCAGCAAAGAAGGCAGGAAGAUUGAUCACCACAAGGAAAAGAUCUUAAAACACCUCUCAGAGGCUCACUGGCAGUUUCAGAGUAACAAGAGUAACAAGUGAUGAUGAUCUUUCUCCACACAAUGACAUCUUUAAGGGCCAGAGAGAAAAUUACAGUCAAAACCAUGUGCAUUCAGAUUGUGCAGCGUCGUGUCCGUGAACUUCCAGAGUUUGCAUUAAGAAGUGACAGAACAUCAGAGUGCCAGAAGCUUCUCAUUUUGUGGCCCUGAAGGCACGGUGGUGGAUUCCAGCAGCCUUGAGAGGACAGGGUGGAGAGAGGAAGGACAAGGGGACAGUCUGACUGUUGUCAGCAGAGAUCCACAAACACUCUUCUAAGACUUGCUCUGGAGCAACUGCUCUGUGUGGGCACAAUUUGGGGAGCCCCCAGAGUGACCUGAGCUCUUCAGGAGGCCACCAAGGGCAGGUGAGGGAGUAAAGGCCAAAUUAGUGGCCACUUUUAGCAGUGACACUCUGCAGCCCAGUCUGCAGUGCCAGAUGGGCCACAUGAACCUGUUGCAGCCACAAGGAACCUGUCCCUGUGCAGGUCUCACCUCACUUUCCUCCUCAGUUUAAAGCUGGUCUGGUUAUCUAUCCCUGCAUAGGGCCUCUGAUCACAAUCUUUUCCUGAGCUGUUCCUCCCAUGGCCAGGCCUGUCCGUGGCCUGUAGCACUGCCAGGCCAGAGAGUUUAUACACACACAUCUUGAGAUGUGCUGCUGCUUAAACAAGGUUAGCCAGAGCCUCAUUACCAAGAUUUACACUGUCAGUUACAGAGAUGCCCAUCCAAUCCUAUAACACAUAAAUUUAUGGGCAUCACAGCGAAUUUUUUAUUGUUAGAGCUCAUAUACAAUGUGUGCCCUUAGUGACACAUUUUUAAAUAAAAUAUAUUGUACUGGUGAUUUCUAAUGCUUAAAAUAAAAUAAAAUAAUAAUCAACUUUUAGCUACAGUUUCCCCCUGGUUAUUGAGCUGAACUUAAUGACUGGCUGAAAAGUAUUUGUCAACACAACAGCUGGAGAGCAACACUUUCUUGUGGCUUUAUGUCACAGCAUAUGCCAGCCACUCAGAACAUGUGAUAAUUCAACUGGAGCUGGUACUACAAUAGCAGAUGGGUUGAAGCAUUGUUAUUCUCACUCUAGCUCCCAGCCCUUGAGGGAUCACUAAAUAAAAUCAAAGCAGAUGGACCAUUACAAGCUCAUUUGUGUUCACUACAAGCACCUCAACCUCCAGUUGUGAUAUACUGCACCUUUGUAUAAAAUGACAUGUAUGGUAACAUGGCCUAAUGAAAAUAGCAUCAGACUUGGCAAGUGAGGAAUGAGACUGGGAAAUAUUCACAGAUCUAUUUAUCACUGAGUUCUUACCUUGCAGAAAGGGUUCAUUCCUGUCCCUCUCUCACCACCCCCCUGCCCCAAAGUUUAUCAUAGUAUUUUUCUCCAUGUUUAUAGUUUAAUUUCCUCACACUUGUCACAAGAACUAGGAGGUGGCUGCUGGUUCUGGCUGUAGGAGCCAAGCAGGGCUCCCAGCCCAUGCAAAGACAGGAAGAGUGCUACUAAUCAGGAGUGUAAAACUCAUUCCUACAUCCCCUUGAUGAAUCUGCUAAUCCAGGAGGCCCCCAGGGCUCAAGGCUUUAGCACCUACUGGCACCAAUACCUGCAGGGACCAGGACACUGUGUCCAUUUCUCAGCAGUUAGUGCCAAUUCCCAAGUGGAACUCCUCUCAAAUAUGAGCUUUUUAGAUAUGCAUGUAUCUUAUUUUUUUCCACCCAGUUUUAAACAGCUUCUGUGCCCUACUGCAGACACAGCUGCAUCCAGUGAUAAAUAGAAUAUACUGUGAACUUAUUCAACGCUUUGAGCAUUCUGUUCUUCCCUGUAUAAACAAGUACAGUGGGAGUAGACAGUGUUUGGGGAGAGUUAAUUCCAUUCUGUCUCUAUGAAAGACCCAUAUAAGACUAUGAAACUUUAGGAAAAGCUCUGUAGAUCACCUGACUGCCAUAGCUCCCUUCAUCCAGCUGCUGCUGGGCUUUAAAGAGCCAAAGAGGUGCAGCAGUGGAAGCCAAAGAAAUCACUUCAUUGGGGUUGGUAAAUACAGUUGAACUUCAGUGACUGCAGCAAGCAGCUGAAAGACUUGUCCAGCUUUUUAUGUGAAACAGCCUUUUUCUGAAUGUCUGAAUUGUCUAAAAUGAUGAAUGGAUCAGAUAAUAUUUCUCACCUGACCCAGAAAGUGUAGGGCAGCUGGGCAGUGUCAAGGACAGUGCUGCCAGGGAGAACACUGUGUGCAGCUUUGUUUGUUCUUCCUGAGCACUCUGUGCUCAGUGCAGUGCCUCAUCCUAAACUGCAAAUUUGUGAUACUCUGUCAGAGGCAUGUGCAGGUCAGGCCAGGCAUCAGCACUGCCCCUUAUCUGCUGGCCGGCUUUCCUAUCAGCCCAACUAAUUUGCUAAGAUAAUUCUGUUUCCUGCUAUCUAUUACAAUAAAUCAACCACUGUAGCUUCAUUGAAUUCUCUGCCAGCUGCUGCCCUUGAAAUUCUCAAACUAUAUGGGGGGCUGGAGGGAAACCUGUACUCUUCUAAAUAUAUGAAAAUUUUAGAUGAACAGCUUGAUAGCCUGGGCAGUGCUGUAUUUCCUCAGCCCCACAUUAAUGAUGUGCCAGAGUCUGCUCAGAUUGAGGCAAACCCCAUUGCAUUAGUCAUUCUUUUGAAAACAAGUUUUUGGAAUAAUGUGAUCUCGGUGGUAAAGCAAGUUUGUGGGUAAAUGCAGACAUGGCAAGUGACACUGAGAGAUAGAGAACAGGAGCACAUGCUCAGGAAAGAGCCAGAGUAAAAUGACAAGGCAUUCACUGUGGUGGCUGUUGAAUUAAAAAAUAAAGGUAUUCCAUUCUCUGACAAUUAAUUUUGAAGAGGAAAAAGAUGUUGAGGAUGGGUGCAAACUGAAGAAACAUGAAGCAUCCCCAAGCAUGCCUACUACAAGAACAAAACUUCAGGGGAGAAAGUGUAUUCUGCUUUUCCUUAUGUCAAUAUCAAAUACAGAGAGUAGCAGUGAUACUACAUUUCACAGCCAUAUUUAAGGUUAGAAGAUACAUCAGUUUAUGUCCUACUUGUGUAGUUUUUAUAUAGUUAUUUAAUAAUGCCAAGUUUUGGUUUUGUUUUGUUUUGUUUUUUUUAAGGGACUUUUAUCCCUCAUGAAAUUUCAGCUUUUUCUUUUAAUUAUCCAGAAGAUCAACACUGGUUCUGUAAUGGCUCUGCUGGGAUUAAACUCAGCCUGUACCAUCUAUGUUGCUGAAGAGAGCCAACUCCUUCCUUAGCAGCAUGGUUGGGUUCAUUCAGUCAAUCAUUUGGCAGAAGGAUGUUUAAGCAUAAUUGCAUAUCCCCUCCUUGUCUUUAAAUAUUCAGAGGAAAAGUCACAGAAGAACCGAUAAUGUAACAAUAAUAAUGGGGCUGAAGAACAGUAUUAUAGUGUGAAUUCAUCUAUCCCUUGGUUUCAUUUACAUGUUUAACAGCUGCUUGUACUUCCAUUAGAGAAAGAUCAUUACCUGACUUGUAAGAAGAGAGGGGGAGUCUAUUCACCUUUGGGCAACUAGCUCUGCAUUUAUUAAUAGUUGUUGCCCAUCUCAUUAUACAUUUAAUUGUUGCAUUAUAAUUUAUUUAUUCAUUGAUUUAUUGUAAUAGAUGAGUAGAAACAAAAUUACCUUUGCAAAUUACUUUGAUAGGUGGGAAGUUUGCAUGGUUAAAAAUACCCCAACAUGCAGUGUGGAAUGUGAGAUGUUAGCCAGUGAAUAACAUCUUCACACAUAAGCACCAGCAGAGUCAGACUGGUCUCAUUACAAAGUGAAGGUAAAUGCAGCCAAUUUAUACACUGAUUAAAAAAUAUGUAUAAUUGUUACUUCUAUACAAUUGUCCUUACAUUCCCAGAUGUCUCUGCUUCACAGAACAGGGAAUCAGAAGAAAAGUGAAGGAGAAAGAGGAUGGAAAGCGAAGACUCAUCAAAAAUUAGAAAGCUAAAGGUGUAGGAGUUUGCAGAGCACGUGGAAGCCAGGCCUGCCUUGCUGCCAGCGUGGGUGGGCAGCUCCUGUUGGGGCAGCUCAGCCCCACAGCCCCAGCACAGCAACAGCAACCAAAUGGGGCCGUGGAGAGUUGGGCAGAGCCAGACAUAGAAAAUACACACAAGGAAUUUUUCCAUUUCCAGUUAACAUACAUGAGUUAGACCCAGAAAAACUCCAAUAUUUUUGUUGUCAAUUAAAUAAAAUUAAUGAUUUGAUAAAACUGAUUAGUUAAUAACAAUAUCCACUAUCAAUUUUCUGCAUACAAAGAUCUAUUAACUGAAAAACUUGUCAGUUAGGGCCACAAAAUGCAGAUUGGUUUUUGGUGGGGUGGUGGUUUUGGUUUUGUCCUUAAGAGCUGGAGCCUGCAGCAGCUCCCAGGGGAGGUGGGACUCAUCCAGGGCUGAGCUGAUUGCUGUUGGAGGGGCUGGAGGGAAGCCAGGGGCAGGGGGAGGCUGAGCUGCAGCCACAGCAGCAGGCUCGGCUCCCGCGGCUGGACCUGGCUGCACGGAGCGCUUCAUUCCGCACCAAGGCUUAGUGUGAAAAUUAUUACUACUUUCGUCUUGUUGAUACAGCUUUUCAUCAGCUUUCAGCAGAGUGCUGCAAUUACCCUGAGAUACCCCUGGCAUUUUGCAUCUCCCGAUAGAAGCUGCUUUCCUCACACCGGGGGGAUCCAGCGCUCCAUGACGGGCCCACAGGCGGUGCAGCGAGCCCGGGCCACACCUGGGGCUCAGGGUCACACUGAGCCCGGGCUGGGCAGCUCCGGCUCCAGGGACCGUCCCUGGGCUCCGGCAGCAGCGAGCUACAGCCGGCCCUUGCAGAGGGAUUGAAAAGCGACAGCUCCGUCUGCACCUCACCCGGUGCGGCCACGGGGAGCCCUGCGAACAGCAGGACAAAGCCGCGGGGACACAGAGGGGACACAGCGCGGACA
Molecule: long non-coding RNA, 5779 nt
Organism: Parus major (Great Tit)
Lineage: Eukaryota; Metazoa; Chordata; Aves; Passeriformes; Paridae
Exons: 8
Source: RefSeq, a predicted model, not a curated record